ACGUUAAAACACGGGUUCCCAUACGAUCACCGAACUUAAGCAACGUUCUGCCUGGUCAGUACCUAGAUGGGUGACCGCUUGGGAAUGCGAUGUGCUGCAAG
RNAcentral lists this ribosomal RNA (101 nucleotides) under Acanthosepion pharaonis. Lineage: Eukaryota; Metazoa; Mollusca; Cephalopoda; Sepiida; Sepiidae. The record is from RNAcentral.